Molecule: ribosomal RNA, 485 nt
Filed under: uncultured bacterium
Lineage: Bacteria
Description: partial 16S ribosomal RNA
Rfam family: Bacterial small subunit ribosomal RNA
Source: RNAcentral
GACGAACGCUGGCGGCGUGCUUAACACAUGCAAGUCGAACGGUGAAAGCGGAGCUUGCUCCGCUGGAUCAGUGGCGAACGGGUGAGUAACACGUGGGCAACCUGCCCCUCACUUCGGGAUAACUCCGGGAAACCGGGGCUAAUACCGGAUAUGACCUCCUUGGGCAUCCUUGGAGGUGGAAAGUUUUUCGGUGAGGGAUGGGCCCGCGGCCUAUCAGCUUGUUGGUGAGGUAGUGGCUCACCAAGGCGACGACGGGUAGCCGGCCUGAGAGGGCGGCCGGCCACACUGGGACUGAGACACGGCCCAGACGCCUACGGGAGGCAGCAGUGGGGAAUAUUGCGCAAUGGGCGAAAGCCUGACGCAGCAACGCCGCGUGCGGGAUGACGGCCUUCGGGUUGUAAACCGCUUUCAGCAGGGAAGAAGCCGCAAGGUGACGGUACCUGCAGAAGAAGCACCGGCUAACUACGUGCCAGCCGCCGCGGUAA